This 484-nucleotide ribosomal RNA is filed under the name uncultured bacterium. RNAcentral's name for it is "partial 16S ribosomal RNA". It matches the Rfam family "Bacterial small subunit ribosomal RNA", at positions 30 to 507 of the family's 1533-position model. The record is from RNAcentral.
AUUGAACGCUGGCGGCAGGCCUAACACAUGCAAGUCGAGCGGAUGAAGGGAGCUUGCUCCUGGAUUCAGCGGCGGACGGGUGAGUAAUGCCUAGGAAUCUGCCUGGUAGUGGGGGAUAACGUCCGGAAACGGGCGCUAAUACCGCAUACGUCCUGAGGUAGAAAGUGGGGGAUCUUCGGACCUCACGCUAUCAGAUGAGCCUAGGUCGGAUUAGCUAGUUGGUGGGGUAAAGGCCUACCAAGGCGACGAUCCGUAACUGGUCUGAGAGGAUGAUCAGUCACACUGGAACUGAGACACGGUCCAGACUCCUACGGGAGGCAGCAGUGGGGAAUAUUGGACAAUGGGCGAAAGCCUGAUCCAGCCAUGCCGCGUGUGUGAAGAAGGUCUUCGGAUUGUAAAGCACUUUAAGUUGGGGGGAAGGGCAGUAAGUUAAUACCUUGCUGUUUUGACGUUACCAACAGAAUAAGCACCGGCUAACUUCGUG